Non-coding RNA from Vicia faba (fava bean), 204 nucleotides. NCBI's taxonomy places the organism in Eukaryota, Viridiplantae, Streptophyta, Magnoliopsida, Fabales, Fabaceae. The record is from the annotation of a GenBank genome assembly.
AUGAAGAUUGAACUUAAUAGCGGUUUGAUUUUAACUUUGAAGUGUGAAAACGUUCUGAUCUGUAUGUUUUGUAUUGUGAUUUCGUUAUCUCACUUGUUGUAUCUGAUUUUACUGACUGUGGUUUAUAGCAGAUUAAUUAGUUGCCUUAUUUUCCUAACUUAUGUUUUAUGUACACCGACUCCUCUGAAAAAUAUGCAUUUGUGA